AUUGAACGCUGGCGGCAGGCCUAACACAUGCAAGUCGAGCGGAUGAAGGCAGCUUGCUCCUGGAUUCAGCGGCGGACGGGUGAGUAAUGCCUAGGAAUCUGCCUGGUAGUUGGGGAUAACGUCCGGAAACGGGCGCUAAUACCGCAUACGUCCUGAGGGAGAAAGUGGGGGAUCUUCGGACCUCACGCUAUCAGAUGAGCCUAGGUCGGAUUAGCUAGUUGGUGGGGUAAAGGCCUACCAAGGCGACGAUCCGUAACUGGUCUGAGAGGAUGAUCAGUCACACUGGAACUGAGACACGGUCCAGACUCCUACGGGAGGCAGCAGUGGGGAAUAUUGGACAAUGGGCGAAAGCCUGAUCCAGCCAUGCCGCGUGUGUGAAGAAGGUCUUCGGAUUGUAAAGCACUUUAAGUUGGGAGGAAGGGAAGUAAGUUAAUACCUUGCUGUUUUGACGUUACCAAAAGAAUAAGCACCGGCUAACUUCGUG
This 484-nucleotide ribosomal RNA is filed under the name uncultured bacterium. RNAcentral's name for it is "partial 16S ribosomal RNA". It matches the Rfam family "Bacterial small subunit ribosomal RNA", at positions 30 to 507 of the family's 1533-position model. The record is from RNAcentral.